AGAGUUUGAUCCUGGCUCAGGAUGAACGCUAGCUACAGGCUUAACACAUGCAAGUCGAGGGGCAUCAUGGAGUUUGCUUGCAAACUCUGAUGGCGACCGGCGCACGGGUGAGUAACGCGUAUCCAACCUUCCCUAUAGUAGAGGAUAGCCCGGCGAAAGUCGGAUUAAUACUCUAUGUUUUCCGUUGCAGACAUCUAAGAUGGAACAAAGGCUUGCCGCUAUAGGAUGGGGAUGCGUCUGAUUAGGUAGUCGGCGGGGUAACGGCCCACCGAGCCAUCGAUCAGUAGGGGUUCUGAGAGGAAGGUCCCCCACAUUGGAACUGAGACACGGUCCAAACUCCUACGGGAGGCAGCAGUGAGGAAUAUUGGUCAAUGGGCGAGAGCCUGAACCAGCCAAGUAGCGUGCAGGACGACGGCCCUAUGGGUUGUAAACUGCUUUUAUGCGGGGAUAAAGUUCACUACGUGUAGUGUUUUGUAGGUACCGCAUGAAUAAGGACCGGCUAAUUCCGUGCCAGCAGCCGCGGUAAUACGGAAGGUCCGGGCGUUAUCCGGAUUUAUUGGGUUUAAAGGGAGCGCAGGCCGGAGGUCAAGCGUGACGUGAAAUGUAGCCGCUCAACGGCUGAACUGCGUCGCGAACUGGCUUUCUUGAGUGAGUUCGAUGUGGGCGGAAUUCGUGGUGUAGCGGUGAAAUGCUUAGAUAUCACGAAGAACUCCGAUUGCGAAGGCAGCCCACAAGGCCUUUACUGACGCUAAAGCUCGAAGGUGCGGGUAUCGAACAGGAUUAGAUACCCUGGUAGUCCGCACGGUAAACGAUGGAUGCCCGCUGUUUGCGAUAUACUGUGAGCGGCCAAGAGAAAUCGUUAAGCAUCCCACCUGGGGAGUACGCCGGCAACGGUAAAACUCAAAGGAAUUGACGGGGGCCGCACAAGCGGAGGAACAUGUGGUUUAAUUCGAUGAUACGCGAGGAACCUUACCCGGGCUUGAACUGCAGCGGAAGGAAACAGAGAUGUUGACCUUCGGGGCCGCUGUGGAGGUGCUGCAUGGUUGUCGUCAGCUCGUGCC
Molecule: ribosomal RNA, 1061 nt
Filed under: unidentified rumen bacterium 30-4
Lineage: Bacteria; Pseudomonadati; Bacteroidota; Bacteroidia; Bacteroidales; Bacteroidaceae
Description: bacterial SSU rRNA
Rfam family: Bacterial small subunit ribosomal RNA
Source: RNAcentral